UGGGGAAUAUUGCACAAUGGGCGCAAGCCUGAUGCAGCGACGCCGCGUGGGGGAUGACGGCCUUCGGGUUGUAAACUCCUUUCGCUAGGGACGAAGCUUUUUGUGACGGUACCUAGAUAAGAAGCACCGGCUAACUACGUGCCAGCAGCCGCGGUAAUACGUAGGGUGCGAGCGUUGUCCGGAAUUACUGGGCGUACAGGGCUCGUAGGUGGUUUGUCGCGUCGUCUGUGAAAUUCCGGGGCUUAACUCCGGGCGUGCAGGCGAUACGGGCAUAACUUGAGUACUGUAGGGGUAACUGGAAUUGCUGGUGUAGCGGUGGAAUGCGCAGAUAUCAGGAGGAACACCGAUGGCGAAGGCAGGUUACUGGGCAGUUACUGACGCUGAGGAGCGAAAGCAUGGGUAGCGAACAGG
Molecule: ribosomal RNA, 411 nt
Filed under: Bacillota bacterium
Lineage: Bacteria; Bacillati; Bacillota
Description: Firmicutes bacterium partial 16S ribosomal RNA
Rfam family: Bacterial small subunit ribosomal RNA
Source: RNAcentral